Molecule: ribosomal RNA, 366 nt
Filed under: uncultured eukaryote
Lineage: Eukaryota
Description: partial 18S ribosomal RNA
Rfam family: Eukaryotic small subunit ribosomal RNA
Source: RNAcentral
CAAUAGCGUAUAUUAAAGUUGUUGCAGUUAAAAAGCUCGUAGUUGAAUUUCUGGCGGGCGCGCCGGUCUUCCAAGUGUUGUACUGGGCGCAGUCCGCCAUCCUUGUGGAGAGGGCUCGCAUUGAGUUGCGUGUCGGAUCUGCAUCAUUUACUGUGAAAAAAUUAGAGUGUUUAAAGCAGGCUGUCGCUUGAAUACAUUAGCAUGGAAUAAUAAGAUAGGACUUCGGUCUAUUUUGUUGGUUGCGAACCGAGGUAAUGAUUAAUAGGGAUAGUUGGGGGUAUUCAUAUUUAAUUGUCAGAGGUGAAAUUCUUGGAUUUAUGAAAGAUGAACAACUGCGAAANCANNNACGAAGGAUGUUUUCAUNAA